This 110-nucleotide non-coding RNA is filed under the name unclassified sequences. The record is from Rfam.
GUCACCGCCGGACGGGCGGGGCCGUGAGGGUUGGGGAACCCGGUGACCGGCCCCCUCCGAGGUGGCUCGGGGUUUAAGGGAGCCCCGGGUCGAUCGUUCCGGCGAAGGAG